RNAcentral lists this ribosomal RNA (442 nucleotides) under uncultured bacterium. RNAcentral describes it as "partial 16S ribosomal RNA". It matches the Rfam family "Bacterial small subunit ribosomal RNA", at positions 338 to 795 of the family's 1533-position model. The record is from RNAcentral.
CCUACGGGUGGCAGCAGUGGGGAAUAUUGGGCAAUGGAGGAAACUCUGACCCAGCAAUGCCGCGUGAAUGAAGAAGGUCUUCGGAGUGUUAAGUUCUUUAGUUAGGGAAGAAUAAAAUGAUGGUACCUGAUGUAUAAGCUCCGGCUAACUACGUGCCAGCAGCCGCGGUAAUACGUAGGGUGCAAGCGUUAUCCGGAUUUAUGGGGUUUACAGGGUGCGCAGGCGGAAGAGAAAGUCAGCGGUAAAAUUGAGAGGCUCAACCUCUUCGAGCCGUUGAAACUGGUUUUCUAGAGUGUGUGAGAAGUAUGCGGAAUGCGUGGUGUAGCGGUGAAAUGCAUAGAUAUCACGCAGAACUCCGAUUGCGAAGGCAGCAUACCGGCGCUCAACUGACGCUCAUGCACGAAAGUGUGGGUAUCGAACAGGAUUAGAUACCCCAGUAGUC